RNAcentral lists this ribosomal RNA (253 nucleotides) under uncultured bacterium. RNAcentral describes it as "partial 16S ribosomal RNA". It matches the Rfam family "Bacterial small subunit ribosomal RNA", at positions 524 to 776 of the family's 1533-position model. RNAcentral also lists the same sequence under 1 other name. The record is from RNAcentral.
UACGAAGGGGGCUAGCGUUGCUCGGAAUUACUGGGCGUAAAGGGCGCGUAGGCGGACAGUUUAGUCAGAGGUGAAAGCCCAGGGCUCAACCUUGGAACUGCCUUUGAUACUGGCUGUCUUGAGUACGGGAGAGGUGUGUGGAACUCCGAGUGUAGAGGUGAAAUUCGUAGAUAUUCGGAAGAACACCAGUGGCGAAGGCGACACACUGGCCCGUUACUGACGCUGAGGCGCGAAAGCGUGGGGAGCAAACAGG